Molecule: unclassified non-coding RNA, 674 nt
Filed under: Hevea brasiliensis (rubber tree)
Lineage: Eukaryota; Viridiplantae; Streptophyta; Magnoliopsida; Malpighiales; Euphorbiaceae
Source: RNAcentral
ACCCCCAUCUGCAAUGAGAUAUGGCCGAACUUCAUCCAAUACUCUCUCAACAUUCUCUGCAGUUAACGGCAAUUCCAAUGCUGAAUCUGGGGUGGCAACAGCUUUUACAAAAAUCUUCAUUACAAACAAACCUAGCCUUCGCGUCAAGACCGGCGACCGAAUCCGCACAGAACGGCAUGGGAUGCGCCUCAGCUGAUUACGCCCCCGCUUGAGCGAUACGUGGCUGCCAUAGAAGCUCGAACUCUUGGAGGGUCGAGAAGAGGAACGGGAAUCAAGGGUUUGCUGAGCCCUAUAGUAAGUUGGGUUAAGCACCACAGCUUGCAUCAUCUCUCUCUUGAUUGUAAGAUCAGAAACCAAGAGAGACAAAGAAAAACACGAAUUACAAUGAAAACAAAAGCUAAUUUAUUGAUUGAUGAAUCGAUGGUUAGAUAUAGAGGUAAAUCGCCUGUGCACUCUGCGAUUUCUGGUUGGUGCCGCCUUUUCUUUUUCCCGAUCGAAUAUGGAGGGCUGUGUAUCAACUAUGGAGUUUGUUUUGAUUUGCAAAUGUGACUACAAUCUGGGAGUUGCUGAUUCUCGCUGGGGUUUUGAUAUUGCCAGGAAGAGUUCUACAAAAGCGGACCAGUCGGUUCGAUUGGUUGAACCGAUAACCAAUCCAUUAGAUUCACCGUUCUCUG